RNAcentral lists this long non-coding RNA (343 nucleotides) under Dermacentor andersoni. RNAcentral describes it as "uncharacterized LOC126538939". Lineage: Eukaryota; Metazoa; Arthropoda; Arachnida; Ixodida; Ixodidae. The record is from RNAcentral.
UCAAAAUAUUCCGAUACAUGCCACUGGUAAAAGUGUAUUGCUUUUUACCUAGGUGGUCUGGACUCCCUGCGACUCAAAAUAAAAAGCAUGCGGGAGCCAUUUCCGAGGCUAAUUGAAGCGGAUGAAGAGGAGACAUCAUCGAGGAAGAAAGAAUUGCAGGAGCAGCCCACAAGCAGGAUAACAAAAAGGAAGAGGCUGGAAGCCGCCAGCAUUUUGCACGAGCGCAUAAUUGCUCAAUCGGACAAUGGAGCAGAAUCACAGGAGAACGAGGAACCACAGGUUGAAGAUGGAUUACUUGCUCAACUUAGAAAAGCACUAGAAAAGAAAGACCAAGAGAAUAAAA